Molecule: transfer RNA, 70 nt
Filed under: Sphaerodactylus townsendi
Lineage: Eukaryota; Metazoa; Chordata; Lepidosauria; Squamata; Sphaerodactylidae
Description: tRNA-Ala
Rfam family: tRNA
About the family: Transfer RNA (tRNA) molecules are approximately 80 nucleotides in length. Their secondary structure includes four short double-helical elements and three loops (D, anti-codon, and T loops). Further hydrogen bonds mediate the characteristic L-shaped molecular structure. tRNAs have two regions of fundamental functional importance: the anti-codon, which is responsible for specific mRNA codon recognition, and the 3' end, to which the tRNAs corresponding amino acid is attached (by aminoacyl-tRNA synthetases). tRNAs cope with the degeneracy of the genetic code in two manners: having more than one tRNA (with a specific anti-codon) for a particular amino acid; and 'wobble' base-pairing, i.e. permitting non-standard base-pairing at the 3rd anti-codon position.
Source: RNAcentral
GACUGUGGCUCAGGGGUAGAACAUCUGCUUGGCAUGCAGAAGGUCCCAGGUUCAAUCCAUAGCAUCGUCA